AUUGAACGCUGGCGGCAUGCCUUACACAUGCAAGUCGAACGGCAGCACGGGUGCUUGCACCUGUUGGCGAGUGGCGAACGGGUGAGUAAUACAUCGGAACAUGUCCUGUAGUGGGGGAUAGCCCGGCGAAAGCCGGAUUAAUACCGCAUACGAUCUACGGAUGAAAGCGGGGGACCGUCGGGCCUCGCGCUAUAGGGUUGGCCGAUGGCUGAUUAGCUAGUUGGUGGGGUAAAGGCCUACCAAGGCGACGAUCAGUAGCUGGUCUGAGAGGACGACCAGCCACACUGGGACUGAGACACGGCCCAGACUCCUACGGGAGGCAGCAGUGGGGAAUUUUGGACAAUGGGCGAAAGCCUGAUCCAGCAAUGCCGCGUGUGUGAAGAAGGCCUUCGGGUUGUAAAGCACUUUUGUCCGGAAAGAAAACCUUGGCCCUAAUACGGUCGGGGGAUGACGGUACCGGAAGAAUAAGCACCGGCUAACUACGUG
This 486-nucleotide ribosomal RNA is filed under the name uncultured bacterium. RNAcentral describes it as "partial 16S ribosomal RNA". It matches the Rfam family "Bacterial small subunit ribosomal RNA", at positions 30 to 507 of the family's 1533-position model. The record is from RNAcentral.